AGUGAACGCUGGCGGUAGGCCUAACACAUGCAAGUCGAACGGCAGCACAGGAGAGCUUGCUCUCUGGGUGGCGAGUGGCGGACGGGUGAGGAAUACAUCGGAAUCUACUCUGUCGUGGGGGAUAACGUAGGGAAACUUACGCUAAUACCGCAUACGACCUACGGGUGAAAGCAGGGGACAUUCGGGCCUUGCGCGAUUGAAUGAGCCGAUGUCGGAUUAGCUAGUUGGCGGGGUAAGGGCCCACCAAGGCGACGAUCCGUAGCUGGUCUGAGAGGAUGAUCAGCCACACUGGAACUGAGACACGGUCCAGACUCCUACGGGAGGCAGCAGUGGGGAAUAUUGGACAAUGGGCGCAAGCCUGAUCCAGCCAUACCGCGUGGGUGAAGAAGGCCUUCGGGUUGUAAAGCCCUUUUGUUGGGAAAGAAAUCCAGCUGGCUAAUACCCGGUUGGGAUGACGGUACCCAAAGAAUAAGCACCGGCUAACUUCGUGCCAGCCGCCGCAGUAA
RNAcentral lists this ribosomal RNA (506 nucleotides) under uncultured bacterium. Its description in RNAcentral is "partial 16S ribosomal RNA". It matches the Rfam family "Bacterial small subunit ribosomal RNA", at positions 29 to 523 of the family's 1533-position model. The record is from RNAcentral.